RNAcentral lists this ribosomal RNA (778 nucleotides) under uncultured bacterium. RNAcentral describes it as "bacterial SSU rRNA". It matches the Rfam family "Bacterial small subunit ribosomal RNA", at positions 8 to 796 of the family's 1533-position model. The record is from RNAcentral.
AGAGUUUGAUCCUGGCUCAGAAUGAACGUCGGCGGCGUGGAUUAGGCAUGCAAGUCGAACGAGCCUCUGGGGGGUAACUCCUAGAGGAAAGUGGCGAAAGGGGCAGUAAUGUAUGGGUAACCUACCUUGAGGUCUGGGAUAGCUAUUCUAACGGAUAGGUAAUACCGGACGGCCUGAGUUGUCGGCAUCGAUGAUUUAGUAAAGGUUACGCCUCGAGAGGGGCCCAUAUGAUAUUAGCUAGUUGGUGAGGUAAUGGCCCACCAAGGCUGAGAUGCCUAGCAGGCGUGAGAGCGUGACCUGCGCCACUGGCACUGAGACACUGGCCAGACUCCUACGGGAGGCUGCAGUCGAGGAUCUUCGGCAAUGGGCGCAAGCCUGACCGAGCGACGCCGCGUGUGCGAUGAAGGCCUUCGGGUUGUAAAGCACUGUCGAGGGGGAGGAAGGCGCAAGCUUGACCUAUCCCUGGAGGAAGCACGGGCUAAGUUCGUGCCAGCAGCCGCGGUAAGACGAACCGUGCAAACGUUAUUCGGAAUCACUGGGCUUAAAGGGCGCGUAGGCGGGUAAUCAAGUCAAUGGUGAAAGCCUCCAGCUUAACUGGAGAAGUGCCUUUGAUACUGAUUGUCUAGAGUGAGGUAGGGGCAUGUGGAACUUCCGGUGGAGCGGUGAAAUGCGUAGAUAUCGGAAGGAACGCCAGUGGCGAAAGCGAUGUGCUGGACCUUUUCUGACGCUGAGGCGCGAAAGCUAGGGGAUCAAACGGGAUUAGAUACCCUGGUAGUCC